Molecule: ribosomal RNA, 495 nt
Filed under: uncultured bacterium
Lineage: Bacteria
Description: partial 16S ribosomal RNA
Rfam family: Bacterial small subunit ribosomal RNA
Source: RNAcentral
GACGAACGCUGGCGGCGUGCCUAAUACAUGCAAGUAGAACGCUGAAGGAGGAGCUUGCUCUUCUGGACGAGUUGCGAACGGGUGAGUAACGCGUAGGUAACCUGCCUGGUAGCGGGGGAUAACUAUUGGAAACGAUAGCUAAUACCGCAUAACAGUAGAUGUUGCAUGACAUUUGCUUAAAAGGUGCAAUUGCACCACUACCAGAUGGACCUGCGUUGUAUUAGCUAGUUGGUGGGGUAACGGCUCACCAAGGCGACGAUACAUAGCCGACCUGAGAGGGUGAUAGGCAACACUGGGACUGAGACACGGCCCAGACUCCUACGGGAGGCAGCAGUAGGGAAUCUUCGGCAAGGGACGGAAGUCUGACCGAGCAACGCCGCGUGAGUGAAGAAGGUUUUCGGAUCGUAAAGCUCUGUUGUAAGAGAAGAACGAGUGUGAGAGUGGAAAGUUCACACUGUGACGGUAUCUUACCAGAAAGGGACGGCUAACUACGUG